This 165-nucleotide ribosomal RNA is filed under the name uncultured bacterium. RNAcentral describes it as "partial 16S rRNA". It matches the Rfam family "Bacterial small subunit ribosomal RNA", at positions 355 to 511 of the family's 1533-position model. The record is from RNAcentral.
UAGGGAAUCUUCCACAAUGGGACGCAAGUCUGAUGGAGCAACGCCGCGUGAGUGAAGAAGGUCUUCGGAUCGUAAAACUCUGUUGUUAGAGAAGAACACGAGUGAGAGUAACUGUUCAUUCGAUGACGGUAUCUAACCAGCAAGUCACGGCUAACUACGUGCCGG